RNAcentral lists this unclassified non-coding RNA (298 nucleotides) under plant metagenome. RNAcentral describes it as "partial contains 5.8S ribosomal RNA, internal transcribed spacer 2, and large subunit ribosomal RNA". The stretch from base 1 to 105 matches the Rfam family "5.8S ribosomal RNA", at positions 50 to 154 of the family's 154-position model. The record is from RNAcentral.
GAAAUGCGAUAAGUAAUGUGAAUUGCAGAAUUCAGUGAAUCAUCGAAUCUUUGAACGCACAUUGCGCCACCUGGUAUUCCGGGGGGCAUGCCUGUUCGAGCGUCAUUUCACCACUCAAGCCUCGCUUGGUAUUGGGCAACGCGGUCCGCCGCGUGCCUCAAAUCGACCGGCUGGGUCUUCUGUCCCCUAAGCGUUGUGGAAACUAUUCGCUAAAGGGUGUUCGGGAGGCUACGCCGUAAAACAACCCCAUUUCUAAGGUUGACCUCGGAUCGGGUAGGGAUACCCGCUGAACUUAAGC